This 301-nucleotide ribosomal RNA is filed under the name uncultured bacterium. Its description in RNAcentral is "partial 16S ribosomal RNA". It matches the Rfam family "Bacterial small subunit ribosomal RNA", at positions 509 to 807 of the family's 1533-position model. The record is from RNAcentral.
CAGUCGCCGCGGUAACACGUAGGUGGCGAGCGUUGUCCGGAAUUACUGGGCGUAAAGCGCACGUAGGCGGUUAUUCAAGUCAGAGGUGAAAGCCCGGGGCUCAACCCCGGAACUGCCUUUGAAACUAGAUGACUGGAAUCUUGGAGAGGUCAGUGGAAUUCCGAGUGUAGAGGUGAAAUUCGUAGAUAUUGGGAAGAACACCGGUGGCGAAGGCGGCAACCUGGUCCAUAACUGACGCUGAGGCGCGAAAGCGUGGGGAGCAAACAGGAUUAGAUACCCCCGUAGUCCCUGUCUCUUAUAC